AAAACGAUCAACAACAAAGAUCUAUGCAUGAACACGAAAUUUUUCAAAAAUUAAACAUGAACACGAUGAAACAAAUAAAUCCCAGCGAAAUACUCACAGAUUUUUGGGGGAAAACGAGUAGAUCUGGAAGAGGAAGGCACCAGGAAUUUUUAGAGAGAGAAAGAGCGAAAUUUGGAUUAGAUUAGAGUGAGAAAUAAAUCUCUGUAACCGGUUAUAUUGCCGCGGCUACAGUGAUUUGUACCGGUAUACGGGAUUUUGUACCGGUA
RNAcentral lists this long non-coding RNA (266 nucleotides) under Ananas comosus (pineapple). RNAcentral describes it as "long non-coding RNA (ACOM_LNC041621)". Lineage: Eukaryota; Viridiplantae; Streptophyta; Magnoliopsida; Poales; Bromeliaceae. The record is from RNAcentral.